Molecule: ribosomal RNA, 216 nt
Filed under: uncultured bacterium
Lineage: Bacteria
Description: partial 16S ribosomal RNA
Rfam family: Bacterial small subunit ribosomal RNA
Source: RNAcentral
CCCAGUUCGGAUUGUAGUCUGCAACCCGACUACAUGAAGCUGGAAUCGCUAGUAAUCGCGGAUCAGAAUGCCGCGGUGAAUACGUUCCCGGGUCUUGUACACACCGCCCGUCACACCAUGGGAGUCGGAAAUGCCCGAAGUCUGUGACCCAACCUGAGAGGGAGGGAGCUGCCGAAGGCAGGCCCGGUGACUGGGGUGAAGUCGUAACAAGGUAAC